Molecule: ribosomal RNA, 305 nt
Filed under: uncultured bacterium
Lineage: Bacteria
Description: bacterial SSU rRNA
Rfam family: Bacterial small subunit ribosomal RNA
Source: RNAcentral
CCUACGGGGGGCAGCAGUGGGGAAUAUUGGGCAAUGGGCGCAAGCCUGACCCAGCAACGCCGCGUGAAGGAAGAAGGCUUUCGGGUUGUAAACUUCUUUUAAGAGGGAAGAGUAGAAGACGGUACCUCUUGAAUAAGCCACGGCUAACUACGUGCCAGCAGCCGCGGUAAUACGUAGGUGGCAAGCGUUGUCCGGAUUUACUGGGUGUAAAGGGCGUGUAGCCGGGCCGGCAAGUCAGAUGUGAAAUCCCAAGGCUCAACCUUGGAACUGCAUUUGAAACUGUUGGUCUUGAGUAUCGGAGAGGC